RNAcentral lists this transfer RNA (68 nucleotides) under Conus miles. Its description in RNAcentral is "tRNA-Thr". It matches the Rfam family "tRNA". From Rfam's summary of the family: Transfer RNA (tRNA) molecules are approximately 80 nucleotides in length. Their secondary structure includes four short double-helical elements and three loops (D, anti-codon, and T loops). Lineage: Eukaryota; Metazoa; Mollusca; Gastropoda; Neogastropoda; Conidae. The record is from RNAcentral.
GCAAUGAUAGCUUAAAACGAAAGCAUUGGUCUUGUAAGCCAAAGAUGAACCCCAAUAUUCUCAUUGCU